This 253-nucleotide ribosomal RNA is filed under the name uncultured bacterium. Its description in RNAcentral is "partial 16S ribosomal RNA". It matches the Rfam family "Bacterial small subunit ribosomal RNA", at positions 524 to 776 of the family's 1533-position model. The record is from RNAcentral.
UACGGAGGGUGCAAGCGUUAUCCGGAAUUACUGGGUUUAAAGGGUGCGUAGGCGGCGUUGUAAGUCAGACGUGAAAGUUUUCCGCUUAACGGGAAAAUUGCGUUUGAUACUGCAGUGCUAGAAUCAGGAUGAGGUUAGCGGAAUGUGACAUGUAGCGGUGAAAUGCAUAGAUAUGUCAUAGAACACCAAUUGCGAAGGCAGCUGGCUAGACCUAGAUUGACGCUGAGGCACGAAAGCGUGGGGAGCGAACAGG